UACGUAGGUGGCAAGCGUUGUCCGGAAUUACUGGGUGUAAAGCGCGUGUAGGCGGCAAUACAAGUCGGAUGUGAAAUCCCGCGGCUUAACCGUGGAGGUGCACCCGAGACUGUAUCGCUAGAGUCCCGGAGAGGAUGGUGGAAUACUUGGUGUAGAGGUGAAAUUCGUAGAUAUCAAGUGGAAUACCGGUGGCGAAGGCGGCCAUCUGGACGGUGACUGACGCUGAGACGCGAAAGCGUGGGUAGCAAACAGG
RNAcentral lists this ribosomal RNA (253 nucleotides) under uncultured bacterium. Its description in RNAcentral is "partial 16S ribosomal RNA". It matches the Rfam family "Bacterial small subunit ribosomal RNA", at positions 524 to 776 of the family's 1533-position model. The record is from RNAcentral.